UCAAAGGCUUUACUAUCCAUCAAAGCCACAAAUGGCAAUCAUACAAAUUAUAU
Molecule: non-coding RNA, 53 nt
Organism: Dipodomys ordii (Ord's kangaroo rat)
Lineage: Eukaryota; Metazoa; Chordata; Mammalia; Rodentia; Heteromyidae
Source: Rfam